Molecule: ribosomal RNA, 301 nt
Filed under: uncultured bacterium
Lineage: Bacteria
Description: partial 16S ribosomal RNA
Rfam family: Bacterial small subunit ribosomal RNA
Source: RNAcentral
CAGUAGCCACGGGAAUACAGAGGGUGCGAGCGUUAAUCGGAUUUACUGGGCGUAAAGCGUGCGUAGGCGGCUUCUUAAGACGGAUGUGAAAUCCCUGAGCUUAACUUAGGAAUUGCAUUCGAUACUGGGAAGCUAGAGUAUGGGAGAGGAUGGUAGAAUUCCAGGUGUAGCGGUGAAAUGCGUAGAGAUCUGGAGGAAUACCGAUGGCGAAGGCAGCCAUCUGGCCUAAUACUGACGCUGAGGUACGAAAGCAUGGGGAGCAAACAGGAUUAGAUACCCCGGUAGUCCCUGUCUCUUAUAC